This 762-nucleotide long non-coding RNA is filed under the name Oryza brachyantha (malo sina). Its description in RNAcentral is "long non-coding RNA (OBRA_LNC001113)". Lineage: Eukaryota; Viridiplantae; Streptophyta; Magnoliopsida; Poales; Poaceae. The record is from RNAcentral.
CAUCUGGAAUAAGAGUCAUGCAAUUUCAGGAGCUUACACUGUACCAGUUUUUCCGUCAAUGGUGUACCUGCGUUAGCAUUGAACCGAAAGGUGCGCGACAAGCAUUGAAGGGUGUCCCUGUAGGAAAAUGCAGGAUUUCCUACACUUCGCCAUAUUGGAGUUUAGCUGGACACGAUCGAGCACCAAUGGAUUCUACUUGAAGGGCCGCUAUAAGGCCAUUGAUUAUCUCUUCUUUUUGAGUACCAUGCCGAAUCUAGUAAGUGUUGCUAAAAUAAUAUUUGAUUGAAUUUAGCUGACAGAUGUUCUACGAUACUCUUUACUUGUCGUAGACUUAUUCUAGGAUGUUUAUUUUUUCUAAUAUAAAUGAUCAAAUCUAUUUAUACUACUACAACAACUACAUAUAAUAUAAUGUAAUAGAACUCUAAAUAAAUGCAAAAAAUCGUCUACCGACAGUAAAGUAACAGUAAAAUAUCAUCAGUAAAAUGCAAAUGCAGUACUGCAAAGGAUCCCAGUUGGAGCGAAGACACAUAGAUGCAUUUGAAGGUAUUUUUCUUCAGGUGAAAUCAAACUAUUCUGGUAAUGGAAGGCACGAGGGAUUUCAGAUGGAGCAUGCGAGUAUCAAGUUUUCUGUUUUCAUUGAUGAGAAACCAGCACCAGCUAUGAAUGAAUAUUCAUCGCUUUUUGCAAAAAAGUUUGAUUGUCUUACAUUUUAAAUAGAUUUUUAAUGUUGUAGUAGUCAAUUUAAUUUUUAUACCAUAAAGU